UAAAAGGUCGGGAUAGCUCAGUUGGAGAGCAG
This 32-nucleotide transfer RNA is filed under the name Moraea bubalina. RNAcentral describes it as "partial tRNA-Phe". Lineage: Eukaryota; Viridiplantae; Streptophyta; Magnoliopsida; Asparagales; Iridaceae. The record is from RNAcentral.